GUACCGCGGGUUGCACCGUUGCGGGACACGCUGAUUGUCCAUGUGACGGACUUGCCUGUGGGAGAGUG
RNAcentral lists this small nucleolar RNA (68 nucleotides) under Trypanosoma brucei brucei TREU927. The record is from RNAcentral. Lineage: Eukaryota; Euglenozoa; Kinetoplastea; Trypanosomatida; Trypanosomatidae.